CAGUCGCCGCGGUAAUACGAGGGGGGCAAGCGUUGUUCGGAAUUAUUGGGCGUAAAGGGUGCGUAGGCGGUUUGGCAAGUCUUGUGUGAAAUCUUCGGGCUCAACCCGAAGCCUGCACGAGAAACUGCCGGGCUUGAGUAUUGGAGAGGUGAGUGGAAUUUCCGGUGUAGCGGUGAAAUGCGUAGAUAUCGGAAGGAACACCUGUGGCGAAAGCGGCUCACUGGACAAUAACUGACGCUGAUGCACGAAAGCUAGGGGAGCAAACAGGAUUAGAUACCCGCGUAGUCCCUGUCUCUUAUAC
Molecule: ribosomal RNA, 301 nt
Filed under: uncultured bacterium
Lineage: Bacteria
Description: partial 16S ribosomal RNA
Rfam family: Bacterial small subunit ribosomal RNA
Source: RNAcentral